AAUAUUGCACAAUGGAGGGAACUCUGAUGCAGCAACGCCGCGUGAGUGAAGAAGGUUUUCGGAUCGUAAAGCCCUGUCCUUGGGGAAGAAGGUCUUCGGACUUGACGGUAUCCAAUGAGGAACCCCCGGCUAACCACGUGCCAGCCGCCGCGGUAAUACGUAGGGGGCGAGCGUUGUCCGGAAUUACUGGGCGUAAAGGGUACGUAGGCGGCUAUAUAAGUCAGGUGUGAAAUACCAGUGCUUAACACUGGAAUUGCAUUUGAAACUGUGUAGCUUGAGUGCAGGAGAGGAAAGUGGAAUUCCUAGUGUAGCGGUGAAAUGCGUAGAGAUUAGGAGGAACACCAGUGGCGAAGGCGACUUUCUGGACUGUAACUGACGCUGAGGUACGAAAGCGUGGGUAGCGAACA
Molecule: ribosomal RNA, 407 nt
Filed under: uncultured bacterium
Lineage: Bacteria
Description: partial 16S ribosomal RNA
Rfam family: Bacterial small subunit ribosomal RNA
Source: RNAcentral